GUGUUCACCUUUUGCGAUUCCUCUCUGUCUUCUUUCGGUGUCUUUAGGUUCUCCGAUUUUUCUCUGCUUUCUUUGUUUCUGCCGAGGGUCUCCAGUAAACACCCUCUCUGCCCUCGGCAGAGUUAACGUCUGCGUACAUAUUACCUCCCAGACCCCACUUGUGGGAUUACACUGGUUGUUGUUGUUGUUGUCUUUGUUUCUGCUUAUGAAAUUGUUGAGAUCUGUUGUUUCUAUCGUCGUCGGAAAAUCAGCGGCUAUGGAACGAGUAUGGACAUACAGUGGAACUUCACGGGAAGCUCAUGUUUGUUUUUUUUACACUUUUCUCCCAGGUGACUCAUAGUAUCUCUUCUGCACUUAGGAUUGCCUUGAAAAGUUACAAAGAGUUACUUUUUGCAGCAGUCUGGCCUACUGUGACGAUUUUCCUCAGCAACCUAUUCUCCAAUUCAUUAUUCUCCAAAUAAUGUUCCUUCCUUAAGGAGAUUCGCAAUAUUCUUUGAUUUUAGCUGUUAUUCAAGAACAAUUGUGGUUGUGCCUACUGCAUUUGCAAUUCCUUUUGUUUCCAUUGGCUGAAAGCAGAUUGUUUUUGUUUUCGUAAAUAUGACAAAUUUUGAGGACUCUGAAUGCAGAGGUGGACCGGUGCCUCAUUUGUUUCUGUUUCUUCACAGUCAUCAAGCCCAUGGCAAACAUCAUUAAUCAUUAUAAACAACUAACUGACUAAGCAUUUCAAAUUAGAAAUAUUGCUAAGAUGACCAACAAAACACAAGUAUUCUCCUUGAGGCCUUAUCUUUACUUGGUGUUUGCGAUCAUUCUCAAAUACAGGAGUUCCUCCUUACACUUGGAGAAUCCAUGAUACUGCUUGUUCAAUAGCGAACGAAUGCAACUGAACAUCAAGAACUCAAUCAAGUAUCUUUGCCAUUGAUUACGUGGGUGCAACUAUUGCCAUCAGAUGUUGGAAGUAGGAUACAAGUAGCUCAUCAAGGUACUUUGGGGUCACGCUCAUGCUUGUACUGAUGAUGUCCUUUGGUCAUUACAAAAAGGAAAAAAAAGGAAUUGUGAUUAAAUCUUGAAGACACUUACUAAAUUAUCUAUUUUGCAUAAGUAGUAAAUUUUCUAUUCAGACUAGCCUGCCACUGAAUCCACAUAGCCAUCAAAGAUGUAAUAUUGCAAAUGCCAAGGGUUAAGUUUGAAGGGAGCAAAGAAGAAAGGAUAUUCAUGGGACGAAGUGUGCCAGGAACUUAACAUAAUAUGAUAUUCAGUGUCUUUAUCUCAUAGAGUGUUGCAACAUUUAGAGGUGGAUUUUCAUUUCUUCUAUUGGGCAUAUGAAAAAAUUGAAUGAAGCAAACAAACCUUAAGCUGAAAUUGGAAACUUGCCUUCUAACACAGUCUACACUUGCAUUCUAAGUUGACUCCUUUAAUCAUCUACUCGGCCUGCCUUUUCAAUAAAAGGAAAAGAGGUGAUUGGCUCAAUAUUGACUCAACUGGUGAUUGGCUUGUUAAGCACUCAAAAUCAAAGAGCUAAGGAUGACAUACUUUUUUUGUUCUAUCAGAUUUUGGAAAAAGCAGAAGACGCUAAGAACUCAACAUGAAUGCACCUUCUAGCACAAAAUAAGGUAAGCUUUUCAUGUUACACAAACAUUCAAGGUCAUAUAAAUCUGUAGAUAUGCAAAAUUGCAUUCUAACAUUGUUUGAGACUCAGUUUUGAAGAAACACAAAAUUAUUGUAGGGAAAGGACAAUGUGUUGGUGCAGGAAUUUGAAUAAAGUAAACUCUAGAUAUUGUUAACUACUUUUUAGUCACUCCACCAAAUUUUGUUUAUGGAUUUUUCAUUCAAAUGCUAACUCACAUCUUUUGAUACCAAUUCAGGAUCUCAACAAACUCUAACCUUAGAUCAACUCCUCCUCCCUUGGUUACUACAACUAUAUAUAAAGUUAAAAAAGAGAGGGGUGGGGGGUGGAGAGAGAGACCACCAAAAAGCAAUAUGAGAAUUCCUCUUCAGCUCGCUAAACGUUGGAGUAUGUCAAAAGAACCUUGCUUCUACUCGCUUCACGCAAGGCAUUAUCUUCCUGAUUCUGUUUUGGAACUGGGUUAAAGAUGAUUUAUAUUCAGGGUAAAAACAACUAAGACAUGCAUUGCAUGAAGCAACAUAAUUAUAAGUUUAUUUGAUGGGUCAUAUGGAGGGAAAAGAACUUGAGAAUAUUUGAAGACAGAGAGGAGAACAUAGUUAGCCUUAAGCAUAAAUGAUCUUUGCUCCCUUUUUUGGUGUAACAUAAGCUAGAAUCAAUGUUAAUGACGUAGACGCCAUGAUAGAUUUUAUUAGUAAUUUUCAUAGUUUGUUAUUGGGUUGUUCAUACCAACUAGCACUUACUUUAUUCUGGUUUUUCUGAUAUAAUACUACUUUACCAUUAUUUAUCAAAAUAAUAAUAGUAUAAAUGGAUUUAUAUUUCCUAUGUAGUGACCUUGUCUGAAUUACUGAGUUUCUUACUUUAAUAUUCAUCUUUCCGUCUUUGUAACGUAGGCUCUGAUACUGGAACAAUAGAAUUAUAAUGCCUUUCAUGCUCUAGCCAGUGUAUCCUCUUCUUAAGUGAAAGGCGCAACAAAAUUGGCCUUUCACAGUAUUUUCAAAAUGGGAUAGGUCUGGGUACUGUCAACGAUGUGCUCUCCCUGCAUUUUCUUUAGCUCAAGCUUUGACAAGUUUGGUAUGGGAUUGGCUUAUGUAGCCAAACAAGUGCAAUGUUGUUCUCUAAUGACGUUUGUAGUGUACUUUAGUAAAUUUAGGCAUUUUAUCUUUACAGUGAGCUAAAGAGAAGAAGGUUGUGAAACAGGUGAAGAUCGAUUGUCUCUAUAUAGCUGCAGCGGAACUCUCCUCCUUCCAAUUUGUACCAUGCAAAUUCUAAUUAUUCAUCUCCUUUCUGCUACAUUAAUUAUUCACCAAGAAUUAUGUGUUGAUUUUCCAUAA
Molecule: non-coding RNA, 2955 nt
Organism: Nicotiana tabacum (common tobacco)
Lineage: Eukaryota; Viridiplantae; Streptophyta; Magnoliopsida; Solanales; Solanaceae
Source: RefSeq, a predicted model, not a curated record